RNAcentral lists this ribosomal RNA (738 nucleotides) under Hippodamia parenthesis. RNAcentral's name for it is "SSU rRNA". It matches the Rfam family "Eukaryotic small subunit ribosomal RNA", at positions 621 to 1323 of the family's 1831-position model. Lineage: Eukaryota; Metazoa; Arthropoda; Insecta; Coleoptera; Coccinellidae. The record is from RNAcentral.
UAAAAGCUCGUAGUCGAAUUUGUGUCUCGCGCCGUCCGGUUCAUCGUUCGCGGUGUCAACUGGCGUGCCGCGAGACGUCCUGCCGGCGGAUCGUUCGCAAGAACGGUCCAACUGACCCCGCCGCGGUGCUCUUCAUUGAGUGUCGAGGUGGGCCGGCACGUUUACUUUGAACAAACUAAGGUGCUUAAAGCAGGCUGAAAUUUUGCCAGAAUAUUUUAUGCAUGGAAUAAUGAAACAGGACCUCGAUUCUAUUUUGUUGGUUUUCGGAACCUCGAGGUAAUGAUUAACAGGAACGGAUGGGGGCAUUCGUAUUGCGACGUUAGAGGUGAAAUUCUUGGAUCGUCGCAAGACGGACAGAAGCGAAAGCAUUUGCCAAAAACGUUUUCAUUGAUCAAGAACGAAAGUUAGAGGUUCGAAGGCGAUCAGAUACCGCCCUAGUUCUAACCAUAAACUAUGCCAGCUAGCGAUCCGCCGACGUUCCUCCGAUGACUCGGCGGGCAGCUUCCGGGAAACCAAAGCUUUUGGGUUCCGGGGGAAGUAUGGUUGCAAAGCUGAAACUUAAAGGAAUUGACGGAAGGGCACCACCAGGAGUGGAGCCUGCGGCUUAAUUUGACUCAACACGGGAAACCUCACCAGGCCCGGACACCGGAAGGAUUGACAGAUUGAGAGCUCUUUCUUGAUUCGGUGGGUGGUGGUGCAUGGCCGUUCUUAGUUGGUGGAGCGAUUUGUCUGGUUAAU